This 440-nucleotide ribosomal RNA is filed under the name uncultured Hyphomicrobiales bacterium. Its description in RNAcentral is "bacterial SSU rRNA". It matches the Rfam family "Bacterial small subunit ribosomal RNA", at positions 338 to 795 of the family's 1533-position model. The record is from RNAcentral. Lineage: Bacteria; Pseudomonadati; Pseudomonadota; Alphaproteobacteria; Hyphomicrobiales.
CCUACGGGGGGCUGCAGUGGGGAAUCUUGGACAAUGGGCGCAAGCCUGAUCCAGCCAUGCCGCGUGAGUGAAGAAGGCCUUCGGGUUGUAAAGCUCUUUUACCAGGGACGAUAAUGACGGUACCUGGAGAAUAAGCCCCGGCAAACUUCGUGCCAGCAGCCGCGGUAAUACGAAGGGGGCUAGCGUUGUUCGGAAUUACUGGGCGUAAAGCGCACGUAGGCGGAUUGUUAAGUCAGAGGUGAAAUCCCGGAGCUCAACUUCGGAACUGCCUUUGAUACUGGCAAUCUAGAGUCCGGAAGAGGUUAGUGGAAUUCCCAGUGUAGAGGUGAAAUUCGUAGAUAUUGGGAAGAACACCAGUGGCGAAGGCGGCUAACUGGUCCGGUACUGACGCUGAGGUGCGAAAGCGUGGGGAGCAAACAGGAUUAGAUACCCCGGUAGUC